UACGGGGGGGGCAAGCGUUGUUCGGAAUUACUGGGCGUAAAGGGCUCGUAGGCGGCCAACUAAGUCAGACGUGAAAUCCCUCAGCUUAACUGGGGAACUGCGUCUGAUACUGGAUGGCUUGGAUUCGGGAGAGGAAUGCGGAAUUCCCAGUGUAGUGGUGAAAUACGUAGAGAUUGGGAAGAACACCAGUGGCGAAGGCGGCUAUCUGGACGGUUUCUGACGCUAAGACGCGAAAGCGUGGGGAGCAAACAGG
RNAcentral lists this ribosomal RNA (253 nucleotides) under uncultured bacterium. Its description in RNAcentral is "partial 16S ribosomal RNA". It matches the Rfam family "Bacterial small subunit ribosomal RNA", at positions 524 to 776 of the family's 1533-position model. The record is from RNAcentral.